Molecule: ribosomal RNA, 1358 nt
Filed under: uncultured Bordetella sp.
Lineage: Bacteria; Pseudomonadati; Pseudomonadota; Betaproteobacteria; Burkholderiales; Alcaligenaceae
Description: partial 16S-23S ribosomal RNA intergenic spacer
Rfam family: Bacterial small subunit ribosomal RNA
Source: RNAcentral
GCGGGGGAUAACUACUGAAAGCGUAGCUAAUACCGCAUACGCCCUUCGGGGGAAAGCGUAGACCUUUCGGGCCUCGCACUAUUAGAGCGGCCGAUAUCGGAUUAGCUAGUUGGUGGGGUAACGGCUCACCAAGGGCGACGAUCCGUAGCUGUCUGAGAGGACGACCAGCCACACUGGGACUGGAGACACGGCCCAGACUCCUACGGGAGGCAGCAGUGGGAAUUUUUGGACAAUGUAAUGGGGAAACCCUGAUCCAGCCAUCCCGCGUGUGCGAUGAAGGGCCUUCGGGUUGUAAAGCACUUUUGGCAGGGAAGAAACGUAAUGGGAUAAUACCCCGUGCAAACUGACGGUACCUGCAGAAUAAGCACCGGCUAACUACGUGCCAGCAGCCGCGGUAAUACGUAGGUGCAAGCGUUAAUCGGAAUUACUGGGCGUAAAGCGUGCGCAGGCGGUUCGGAAAGAAAGAUGUGAAAUCCCAGAGCUUAACUUUUGGAACUGCAUUUUUAACUACCGAGCUAGAGUGUGUCAGAGGGAGGUGGAAUUCCGCGUGUAGCAGUGAAAUGCGUAGAUAUGCGGAGGAACACCGAUGGCGAAGGCAGCUCUGGGAUAACACUGACGCUCAUGCACGAAAGCGUGGGGAGCAAACAGGAUUAGAUACCCGGUAGUCCACGCCCUAAACGAUGUCAACGCUGUUGGGGCCUUCGGCCUUGGUAGCGCAGCUAACGCGUGAAGUUGACCGCCUGGGGAGUACGGUCGCAAGAUUAAAACUCAAAGGAAUUGACGGGGACCCGCACAAGCGGUGGAUGAUGCGGAUUAAUUCGAUGCAACGCGAAAAAACCUUACCUACCCUUGACAUGUCUGGAAUCCCGAAGAGAUUUGGGAGUGCUCGCAAGAGAACCGGAACACAGGUGCUGCAUGGCUGUCGUCAGCUCGUGUCGUGAGAUGUUGGGUUAAGUCCCGCACGAGCGCAACCCUUGUCAUUAGUUGCUACGAGCGGCACUCUACCGAGACUGCCGGUGACAAACCGGAGGAAGGUGGGGAUGACGUCAAGUCCUCAUGGCCCUUAUGGGUAGGGCUUCAUCGUCAUACAAUGGUCGGGACAGAGGGUCGCUAACCCGCGAGGGGAGCCAAUCCCAGAAACCCGAUCGUAGUCCGGAUCGCAGUCUGCAACUCGACUGCGUGAAGUCGGAAUCGCUAGUAAUCGCGGAUCAGCAUGUCGCGGUGAAUACGUUCCCGGGUCUUGUACACACCGCCCGUCACACCAUGGGAGUGGGUCUUACCAGAAGUAGUUAGUCAACCGUAAGGAGGGCGAUUACCACGGUAGGAUUCAUGACUGGGGUGAAGUCGUAACAAGGUAG